AUUGAACGCUGGCGGCAUGCCUUACACAUACAAGUCGAACGGUAACAGGUCUUCGGAUGCUGACGAGUGGCGAACGGGUGAGUAAUACAUCGGAACGUGCCUAGUAGUGGGGGAUAACUACUCGAAAGAGUGGCUAAUACCGCAUGAGAUCUACGGAUGAAAGCAGGGGAUCGCAAGACCUUGUGCUACUAGAGCGGCCGAUGGCAGAUUAGGUAGGUGGUGGGAUAAAAGCUUACCAAGCCGACGAUCUGUAGCUGGUCUGAGAGGACGAUCAGCCACACUGGGACUGAGACACGGCCCAGACUCCUACGGGAGGCAGCAGUGGGGAAUUUUGGACAAUGGGCGAAAGCCUGAUCCAGCAAUGCCGCGUGCAGGAUGAAGGCCUUCGGGUUGUAAACUGCUUUUGUACGGAACGAAAAGCCCCGGGUUAAUACCCUGGGGUCAUGACGGUACCGUAAGAAUAAGCACCGGCUAACUACGUGCCAGCCGCCGCAGUAA
RNAcentral lists this ribosomal RNA (498 nucleotides) under uncultured bacterium. RNAcentral describes it as "partial 16S ribosomal RNA". It matches the Rfam family "Bacterial small subunit ribosomal RNA", at positions 30 to 523 of the family's 1533-position model. The record is from RNAcentral.